CCUACGGGUGGCAGCAGUGGGGAAUAUUGCACAAUGGGGGGAACCCUGAUGCAGCGACGCCGCGUGGGUGAGGAAGUACUUCGGUAUGUAAAGCCCUAUCAGCAGGGAAGAACAUGACGAUACCUGACUAAUAAGCCCCGGCUAAAUACGUGCCAGCAGCCGCGGUAAUACGAAGGGGGCAAGCGCUAUUCGGUUAUACUGGGUGGAACGGGAGCGGAGACGGGGUGCCAAGACUGGGGGGAAAGGCCGGGGGUCAAACCCGGGAAUGCAUUGGAUACUGGCAAGCUGGAGUGACAGAGGGGCAAGCGGAAUUCCAUGUGAAGCGGUGAAAUGCGUAGAUAUAAGGAAGAACACCAGUGGCGAAGGCGGCUUGCUGGGCGGAAACUGACGUUGAGGGUCGAAAGCGUGGGGAGCAAACAGGAUUAGAUACCCUAGUAGUC
This 440-nucleotide ribosomal RNA is filed under the name uncultured bacterium. RNAcentral's name for it is "partial 16S ribosomal RNA". It matches the Rfam family "Bacterial small subunit ribosomal RNA", at positions 338 to 795 of the family's 1533-position model. The record is from RNAcentral.